GGGAUGGUGGUGGAAUUGGUAGACACGCUAGCUUGAGGUGCUAGUUCCGUAAGGUAGUGAGGGUUCGAGUCCCUUCUGUCCCA
This 83-nucleotide transfer RNA is filed under the name Spirochaetes bacterium GWE1_32_154. RNAcentral describes it as "tRNA-Leu". It matches the Rfam family "tRNA". From Rfam's summary of the family: Transfer RNA (tRNA) molecules are approximately 80 nucleotides in length. Their secondary structure includes four short double-helical elements and three loops (D, anti-codon, and T loops). RNAcentral also lists the same sequence under 3 other names. Lineage: Bacteria; Pseudomonadati; Spirochaetota. The record is from RNAcentral.